GAUGAACGCUGGCGGCGUGCCUAAUACAUGCAAGUCGAGCGAACAGACGAGGAGCUUGCUCCUUUGACGUUAGCGGCGGACGGCUGAGUAACACGUGGGUAACCUACCUAUAAGACUGGGAUAACUUCGGGAAACCGGAGCUAAUACCGGAUAAUAUUUCGAACCGCAUGGUUCGAUAGUGAAAGAUGGCCCUGCUAUCACUUAUAGAUGGACCCGCGCCGUAUUAGCUAGUUGGUAAGGUAACGGCUUACCAAGGCAACGAUGCUUAGCCGACCUGAGAGGGUGAUCGGCCACACUGGAACUGAGACACGGUCCAGACUCCUACGGGAGGCAGCAGUAGGGAAUCUUCCGCAAUGGGCGAAAGCCUGACGGAGCAACGCCGCGUGAGUGAUGAAGGUCUUCGGAUCGUAAAACUCUGUUAUUAGGGAAGAACAAACGUGUAAGUAACUGUGCACGUCUUGACGGUACCUAAUCAGAAAGCCACGGCUAACUACGUG
Molecule: ribosomal RNA, 497 nt
Filed under: uncultured bacterium
Lineage: Bacteria
Description: partial 16S ribosomal RNA
Rfam family: Bacterial small subunit ribosomal RNA
Source: RNAcentral